RNAcentral lists this long non-coding RNA (691 nucleotides) under Mytilus galloprovincialis (Mediterranean mussel). The record is from RNAcentral. Lineage: Eukaryota; Metazoa; Mollusca; Bivalvia; Mytilida; Mytilidae.
AAAAAAAGAAAAAGAAAAAAAAAUACAAAUUACAUGACAUAAUAUGUUCUCUUUUUUCUAUCGGUAUAAUCUGUGACACAAUACACAUGAUACAUGCAAUAUAAUCACUACUAUUCUAACGAGGUAAAAAAAAUUACAUAUUGACUAGAAUAUAUGUAAAAUAAUUAUUUCAUUUUAUCAGUAUAUAAAAAAAAAAACUUAUACACCCUUACUAUGAUUACCCCAGACUGACAUUCAGACUUUAACAUUUGAUAUAUAUAUACAUGUUUGAUGAAAUAUGACAAACAGUGUCCAUAUUACAUGUCACAUGGUGGGUUAGAGUGCUUAUAAUGCACAUAACAUGAUAAGUGAAUAUAUUAAAAGAUCUAACAAUACUUGUGCAAAUUUCAUGAUUUAAAACUGUUAUUCCUUUUUCAGGUCAUUGAGAAGAAGAGCUCUAUUAAAAAUCAUUGUCAAAAGACACAAGAAAAGCUCGAUAUUUUUUAAAAUUAACAAUACACAAUGUCAGUUACAUUAUGUUCAUUAUUCGAAAUUGCCAAAAUUAACUAUUAGUUUCUCAAGGAAAUUCUUUGUUGUCAGCACAGUUGUUAGUUGAAAUUCAAAAACAACUUAAAAAAACAUACCAGUAGUUUCAAAAAACUAUUAUACCUGGAUAAAGACAGGAAGAAAAUGCCAUCAAAAAUGGAUCAAA